Molecule: ribosomal RNA, 443 nt
Filed under: uncultured Mesorhizobium sp.
Lineage: Bacteria; Pseudomonadati; Pseudomonadota; Alphaproteobacteria; Hyphomicrobiales; Phyllobacteriaceae
Description: bacterial SSU rRNA
Rfam family: Bacterial small subunit ribosomal RNA
Source: RNAcentral
UUCCUACGGGGGGCAGCAGUGGGGAAUAUUGGACAAUGGGCGAAAGCCUGAUCCAGCCAUGCCGCGUGAGUGAUGAAGGCCCUAGGGUUGUAAAGCUCUUUCAACGGUGAAGAUAAUGACGGUAACCGUAGAAGAAGCCCCGGCUAACUUCGUGCCAGCAGCCGCGGUAAUACGAAGGGGGCUAGCGUUGUUCGGAUUUACUGGGCGUAAAGCGCACGUAGGCGGACUAUUAAGUCAGGGGUGAAAUCCCGGGGCUCAACCCCGGAACUGCCUUUGAUACUGGUAGUCUCGAGUCCGGAAGAGGUGAGUGGAAUUCCGAGUGUAGAGGUGAAAUUCGUAGAUAUUCGGAGGAACACCAGUGGCGAAGGCGGCUCACUGGUCCGGUACUGACGCUGAGGUGCGAAAGCGUGGGGAGCAAACAGGAUUAGAUACCCGAGUAGUCC